AGCGCGGCCACAUAGGCUAGACGCACUAUCUUCUCCUCUACCCCGCGCCGCCCUCCACCUCGGAGCGGGGACGUACGGUGGUGGCGGUGACACAAUGCGAGUGAGUGGCCUUUGGAAGGAAUUGGGCCAUGAGAAGAGCCCUCAUGAAUGGGAUUAGUUCCCUUAUAAGAAGAGACACCAAGGAAGUGAUCUUUCUCUGCCCUCUGCUAUGUGAAGACAAGGUCAUCUGCAGUUUUUUGUUGUUGUUGAUGAUCUUCCUGUCAUAGACAAUGCUGUAACAAACAGACUAUCCACAGGUUUUCUACUUUUUUGAGCUAAAUCGUGAUGAAGCAGAUGAUAAUCUGAGGCUCGCCUGCUAUAUUGUGAAAAUCCCUCUGUGCUUGUAAUAAAG
RNAcentral lists this long non-coding RNA (391 nucleotides) under Homo sapiens (human). RNAcentral describes it as "HSALNT0090588". The record is from RNAcentral. Lineage: Eukaryota; Metazoa; Chordata; Mammalia; Primates; Hominidae.